GUCCAGCCUGCCCAGUGAUAUAAUUCAACGGCCGCGGUAUCCUAACCGUGCGAAGGUAGCAUAAUCACUUGUUCUUUAAAUGAGGACUUGUAUCAACGGCAUCACGAGGACUGUACUGUCUCCUUUCUCUAAUCAGUGAAACUGAUCUCCCCGUGAAGAAGCGGGGAUAUAUAUAUAAGACGAGAAGACCCCAUGGAGCUUAAAACAUACACACACCUCUGAAUUACUAAAUCAGUUAAAUAAAGAAAUUUGUGAGUCAGUUUUAGGUUGGGGAGACCACGGAAUAAAACUAAACCUCCAUGACAAACGGGCCAACGCCCUUAUCCAAGAAUUACAAUUCUAAGAAUUAAUAAACUAAUGUCCAAUGAUCCGGCUAGCCGAUCAACGAACCAAGUUACCCUGGGGAUAACAGCGCAAUCUGCUUCAAGAGCCCCUAUCGACAAGCAGGUUUACGACCUCGAUGUUGGAUCAGGGUAUCCUAGUGGUGCAGCCGCUACUAAAGGUUCGUUUGUUCAACGAUUAAAACCCUACGUGAUCUGAU
This 541-nucleotide ribosomal RNA is filed under the name Amolops hainanensis (Hainan sucker frog). RNAcentral's name for it is "partial 16S ribosomal RNA". It matches the Rfam family "Bacterial large subunit ribosomal RNA", at positions 1852 to 2609 of the family's 2925-position model. Lineage: Eukaryota; Metazoa; Chordata; Amphibia; Anura; Ranidae. The record is from RNAcentral.